This 71-nucleotide transfer RNA is filed under the name Camelus bactrianus (Bactrian camel). It matches the Rfam family "tRNA". Rfam says of the family: Transfer RNA (tRNA) molecules are approximately 80 nucleotides in length. Their secondary structure includes four short double-helical elements and three loops (D, anti-codon, and T loops). RNAcentral also lists the same sequence under 2 other names. The record is from Rfam by way of RNAcentral. Lineage: Eukaryota; Metazoa; Chordata; Mammalia; Artiodactyla; Camelidae.
GAGGGUAUAGCUCAGUGGUACAGCGUGUGCUUAGCAUGCAUGAGGUCCUGGGUUCAAUCCCUAUGACCUCC